This 786-nucleotide ribosomal RNA is filed under the name Glaesserella parasuis 29755. RNAcentral's name for it is "bacterial SSU rRNA". It matches the Rfam family "Bacterial small subunit ribosomal RNA", at positions 216 to 996 of the family's 1533-position model. The record is from RNAcentral. Lineage: Bacteria; Pseudomonadati; Pseudomonadota; Gammaproteobacteria; Pasteurellales; Pasteurellaceae.
UGCCAUAAGAUGAGCCCAAGUGGGAUUAGGUAGUUGGUGGGGUAAAGGCCUACCAAGCCGACGAUCUCUAGCUGGUCUGAGAGGAUGACCAGCCACACUGGAACUGAGACACGGUCCAGACUCCUACGGGAGGCAGCAGUGGGGAAUAUUGCACAAUGGGGGGAACCCUGAUGCAGCCAUGCCGCGUGAAUGAAGAAGGCCUUCGGGUUGUAAAGUUCUUUCGGUGAUGAGGAAGGGUGAUGUUUUAAUAGAGCAUUACAUUGACGUUAGUCACAGAAGAAGCACCGGCUAACUCCGUGCCAGCAGCCGCGGUAAUACGGAGGGUGCGAGCGUUAAUCGGAAUGACUGGGCGUAAAGGGCACGCAGGCGGUGACUUAAGUGAGAUGUGAAAGCCCCGAGCUUAACUUGGGAAUUGCAUUUCAUACUGGGUGGCUAGAGUAUUUUAGGGAGGGGUAGAAUUCCACGUGUAGCGGUGAAAUGCGUAGAGAUGUGGAGGAAUACCGAAGGCGAAGGCAGCCCCUUGGGAAAAUACUGACGCUCAUGUGCGAAAGCGUGGGGAGCAAACAGGAUUAGAUACCCUGGUAGUCCACGCUGUAAACGCUGUCGAUUUGGGGAUUGGGCUUUAUGUUUGGUGCCCGUAGCUAACGUGAUAAAUCGACCGCCUGGGGAGUACGGCCGCAAGGUUAAAACUCAAAUGAAUUGACGGGGGCCCGCACAAGCGGUGGAGCAUGUGGUUUAAUUCGAUGCAACGCGAAGAACCUUACCUACUCUUGACAUCCUAAGAAG